Molecule: ribosomal RNA, 425 nt
Filed under: uncultured bacterium
Lineage: Bacteria
Description: bacterial SSU rRNA
Rfam family: Bacterial small subunit ribosomal RNA
Source: RNAcentral
GGGAAUAUUGGAAAAUGGGCGCAAGCCUGAUCCAGCCAUGCCGCGUUAGUGAAGAAGGCCCUCGGGUUGUAAAGCUCUUUUGUCCGGAAAGAAAAGCAUCGGGUUAAUACCCCGGUGUUCUGACGGUACCGGAAGAAUAAGCACCGGCUAACUUCGUGCCAGCAGCCGCGGUAAUACGAAGGGUGCAAGCGUUACUCGGAAUUACUGGGCGUAAAGCGUGCGUAGGUGGUUCGUUAAGUCUGAUGUGAAAGCCCUGGGCUCAACCUGGGAAUGGCAUUGGAAACUGGCGGACUGGAGUGCGGCAGAGGGUAGCGGAAUUCCCGGUGUAGCAGUGAAAUGCGUAGAGAUCGGGAGGAACAUCCGUGGCGAAGGCGGCUACCUGGACCAGCACUGACACUGAGGCACGAAAGCGUGGGGAGCAAACA